Globicephala melas (long-finned pilot whale) is the source of this 4724-nucleotide long non-coding RNA. RefSeq lists it as uncharacterized. Lineage: Eukaryota; Metazoa; Chordata; Mammalia; Artiodactyla; Delphinidae. The record is from RefSeq and is a predicted model, not a curated record.
UGCGGAGCGGCUGGGCCCGUGAGCCAUGGCCGCUGAGCCUGCGCGUCCAGAGCCUGUGCUCCACAACAGGAGAGGCCACAAUAGUGAGGGGCCCACGUACCGCAAAAAAAAAAAAAAUUAUUGCAGAAGAAGAAACUCAAUGGGGUCUGACUUCAAUAAUACUCAUCAAAGGUAAAUUAAUAUAACAAAAUACCACUUCAUGCCCAUCAAAUGGGCAAAAAUCAAAGUCUUACAAUAACAAUGUUAAUGAAGAUGUAACAUUGUGGAGACUCUGGUGAGCUGCUGAUAGGAGUGUGGAUUGGUGCAAGCACUCCAGAGAGCCAUUUGGCAAUAUCUAGUAACUUUGAAGAUGAUCAUCCUCUACAACCUAGAAGUUUUACUCCUCUGCAAGGCCCUUGCUCCUCAAAGCGUGGUCCUAGGACCAGCAACAUCAACACCAUCUGGAAACUAUGCAGAAUCUCAGGCCCCAUCCCAAACCUACCAAAUCAGAGUCUGCAUUUUAACAAGACUCACCAGAUGAUUAUAUGCACAUGAAUAUAUGAGAAACUACUGCAUGUGGGAAAAGGAGACAUGUAUAAAACUUUAAAUAGAAUUGCUUGUAGUAGCAAAACAUUGGAAAAAACCAGAAGUCCAUGCCCAUAAUAACAGAUACACUUUGGUAUAAUAGGAUACAUCUGUAUAACAACUUGAGUUACAUGUAUAAACAGCCAAGAAAGCACAGGUGCAGAAUGAUUUGUAUAAUAUACCACUGAAAGUACAAAGUACAAAACAAUAUUAUAUAUUGCUUAUGAAUUUAUAAACAUAGUAAAGGAAUAACAGCAUGAGAAUAAUAAGCACCAAAUUCAGAAUAGAGCUUGUUCAGGGUGGGGAAAAAAAAGAAUGAGAUUUAGGAGGCAUAUACAGGGGGCUUUAUAUCUGUGACUUUUUAAAAAUUUAAACUUAAUAUGACAAUAGUAAAAUUUUAUAGAGUGGGUGAUGAGUACAUAAUUAUUCAUUAUAUUUUUUCUGUACUUCUCCAUGUACUUGAAUUAAGUUUACAAAUUUUUAAAGGUUUAAUUUAGAAAAACAAAAAAAGGAAUGCCUUCUUUCCCACCCUCAAUUUUGUAUUAUCGAGUAGCUUUUAGAUUUCUGAAGUGAUCACUAUGAAUCAACUAGUUUGUCAAAUUGUUUCCAAGUCUUGAAUUAAAUAUUCCACUCUGAAGAUUCCAUUCAUUCAAGUACUGAAGUACAAGGAGUAAAACUACUCUAAAGAACAACUGACUGUGGAUGUAGACCAUGUUAUUUUUGCUGCUAAUGAAAUGUUAAAGGUACACAUUCAAAUAUUUGUGGAGCAAAAUGGAAACUACAUUUGAUUCACUUAUUUGGGUAAGAAUAUGUGUUUGUCUCUCUACUUACACCAGACAAGGAAGAUAAUCUAGAAUCAAUACGAUAACCUUGAGGCUCUUUUCUCAACCAUAUGUUAUCAACCAACUGGAAGUCUAGUCUUAUUUCCUUGGUCAUUUAUAACGUAAACAGCAUUUAGUCCUGUCAGCAUUGAAGUGGAGAAAUAGAGGAAUUCUCUGCCACGGAUAUUUUUUUAUCACAAUGGUUGUCAAGCUUUUCCAUUUGGAAACCUUCUAUUGACUCUAUAUGAUUCACAUCUCCCCUAUACCAAGAAAAAAAAUUCAAAAGAAGACAUGACUUUACUGGAAUUAUCUAUUAAUUUAGAAGCUGUUCAACUGAGGGACAUUUACAUAAUUCAGUAGAGAAAACAUACAGUUCUCUGUGUAAGAAAAAGUUUGCCUGAUUUAUAGGAAUUGUUGAUCAUCAAUAUUAAGGACCCACCAAAUGCAAAUGUUACACUAAGGAUUCAAUCCUAAGACCUACUGAGGUUUGGAAACAGGCUCUGAAGGAUUAUGGGAAGUUCUAAACAAAGUGUCAAGUCUAUCAAGGAGCUCAUCAUCAAAGAUGAAGAUGAAGGAGAACAGAAUCAAAUUCAAAUGGUAACAUAUAUACAAAAGCACUGCAGUGAGUAUAUCAAAAUGCUACAGAGUAAGGUUAAUGGAGUCACGAGGAGCCAUGAGCCUGUGGUAACUUCCCAGAGGAAAUGAAUUUUAAUAGUUUUGAGGGGAAGUGAAAUCAUAAUGGGAAGGAGAAAUAGCUCAAAGGGCCAGAAGUGAGCUUCUAAAGCGAGAUAAGCGGAGCCUGGGAAGACUAUAUUCACUUUAUGAUAUAGAGUUUGAAAAGAUUAUCUCUUUAGAUGAUCUAAAUGUGAGCUUGGGCAGGUUAACUUUUCUAAUCCCCUUAUCUGUAGAAUAGGUAAUAUUCACCACCCAGAGAUUGUGUGAUCAGUAAUGAGUGUAACAUCCUUAGGAGAGAAAUUAUGUUCAAUAAUUCCAUUAUUCACUAAAAUUAUGCUUGUUCACUAUAGAGAAUUCAGACCACAUAGAAAUACAUAAAGUGAAAAUUAUACUCCACGUUCCCAAUAACAUUGUCUUUAACAUUUUUGUGUGCAUUUCUUCCAUUUUUAUUCCUUAUACACAUUCUGAUAGGUAUUAUCAUUAUCGAUGCUAUCAUACUAUUUUGCAUCUUGUCACUGAACAGAACGUCUUGAAGAACCUUCCAUGUCAGUACAUAUAGAUUUACCUCACUGUUUUUUGUUUUUUUAGAUAAGUAGAUCUAUUAAUAUAGGAUGCUUAUGAAGGAUAGAAGCAGGCAAGCAAGAGAGCUCUGCCCCGAGAACUAAGUGGGCUACAUUUUUAUAAUCAAAGGAAAAGUGGGGAGGGAGAAAAGACCACCUUCUUCCUCUUCCUUUGUAAAGUUAUUGCAGGAAACUUGGGCACAAGAGGUUGGUCAUGUCCCAGGUGAGUCGCUGGGUUGGGCCACCAAUUCUUUCCUUCACACAGGAAAGAAUUCAAGAGUGAGCCAUAAUAAACUGAAAGCAGAGAUACACAUUCCAUGGACAGAAUGCGGUCUGUCCCAAAAGGCGAGUGGCCCCAGCAGAAACAUGCUCCACAUACAGGGGGCGGGCCAUCUCAAAAGGCGAGAGCGGCUGACCUCACUGUUUUCAAAGUCCAUAUAGUAUUCCACUGUGUGUCCAUUGCUUAAUUUACUUAACCAGGCCCCUAUUUAUGGGCCCACAGUCCUUCACUAGGACAUUCUAGAACAUAUAUCUUUGCAUUGUGGUAGUGUUUUGUAAGAAGCCAAAGUGCUGAGUUGAAAAUUUUUCAUUUUAAUAGAGUUUGUUAAAUUGUUCUUUGAAAAGCCUUAUUGAUUUAUCCCUCUCCGCUUUCCUCCCCACCAUGUAGGUGCUGAAGACAGAAGACAUAACCUAUUCGCAUUUCAAAGGAUAAUAGAUGAUGGAUUUUUGUCAUUGAAAAUAUACAGCAAUAAUAGCCAUGAAGACUGGGAGACUGAUCAGCAGCGUUGCUGUACUUGCCUGGCCAACCUGAAACCCAGGGAGGCUGUCUCCUGUGACCAACACACCUGCAGGGCAGAGUGGUGCUACAGACAGCUGCGCUGUGAGUCACGAUCUACGAUCUCGGUGACACUGCCCAGAAAUCCACACAGUUCCUCCAGGGGGCUCGGGCAGUACCGAAAGGUGACAGACACCCAAGUUGCUCCCAAACAUCCUCUACAACAAACCGGGGAAAAGAGAGGUUCUCGGAAGAUGGUCUUGGGAAACCUUGCUACUACAUGGAUGAAAAUAAAAUUGGAUCCCCACCUACCACUACGUACGAAGUGAACUCUAGAUUGAUUAAAGACCAAUAUCUGAAAGCUGAAACAAUGGGACUAAUAGAAGUAGGUGUGGGUGACUAUCUAAGUGACCUGGCGGAGUAGAGAACUUCUUAAACUAAACCUCAAAAGCAUGAAAGUCCUUGAACAUUUCUUCCAUUCACCUUGGUUUUCCAGUCCUCCCUCACCUCUUGGUCAGCCCUUCUCAAUUGCCGAGAGGUUAUCUUUUGUUUAAAAACAAAAGUGGAACAACAAAACUUUCAAUUCGUCCUUCCUAUAAAUCAAAGAGAUAGUCUUUUUUCUAGGGUUUUCCUUCGUCCAGCUCAGGGGUCAGUAAUCUAUGGCCCAUGAGCCAAGUCUAGCCUACCUCACAGUUUGGUACAGUGUGCUAAAAAAGGUUUUUACAUUUUCAGAUGGUUGAGGAAAAAACAGAAGAAGAAUAUUUUGUGACACUUGAACAACCUAUGAAAUGUCAGUGUCCAUAAAUAAAGUUCUGUUGGAACCCAGCCAAAAUCACUUAUUUCCAUCUUGUCUACACCUGCUUUCUCACCGCAGCUGCAGGGCUGAGUAGUUGUGACAGAGACUGUACAACUCCCAAAGCCUGAAGUAUUGACUCUCUGGCCCUUGACUGGAAAAGGUCUGCCACCUGGAUUGCAUGCCCCUUGAGGAUGGGAGUCGUAUCCAAUAGGUCUUUUAUUUCCCUGAUGUCUUAGCACAGGGCCUUGCAGGUAACCAGUGCUAUUUAUAACACAUAGGACUACUUUUGGCUUCAAGUAACAGAAUAUCCUACCGAUAGGGUUUUUAAUUCUAACGUGACAAGGAAUCCAGAGAUAGGGCUGGCACUGAUUCAACAGCUCAAGGUCUCUUCCCCUGUCCCCUCAGGGUUGCAAGAGAAUAGAGAUAGCUCCUCAGAGAGUUUCUUCAAGUGACCAUGUUCAAAGACAGAAAACUGGCAGCAACAAGGGCAAAGAAAUGACCUGGUAUACCCUUCUCUUAUAGGAGAAGAAAAU